UACGUAGGGUGCAAGCGUUAAUCGGAAUUACUGGGCGUAAAGCGUGCGCAGGCGGUUGUGCAAGACAGAUGUGAAAUCCCCGAGCUCAACUUGGGAACUGCAUUUGUGACUGCACGGCUAGAGUGUGUCAGAGGGGGGGUAGAAUUCCACGUGUAGCAGUGAAAUGCGUAGAUAUGUGGAGGAAUACCGAUGGCGAAGGCAGCCCCCUGGGAUAACACUGACGCUCAUGCACGAAAGCGUGGGGAGCAAACAGG
This 254-nucleotide ribosomal RNA is filed under the name uncultured Burkholderiales bacterium. RNAcentral describes it as "partial 16S ribosomal RNA". It matches the Rfam family "Bacterial small subunit ribosomal RNA", at positions 524 to 776 of the family's 1533-position model. Lineage: Bacteria; Pseudomonadati; Pseudomonadota; Betaproteobacteria; Burkholderiales. The record is from RNAcentral.